AGUUCUCACUGAGACCCGUCACCCCGACUCAACGUGAGACGCACCGCCCGGACUCACCAUGCGUGAAUGCAUCUCAGUCCACGUGGGGCAGGCAGGUGUCCAGAUGGGCAAUGCCUGCUGGGAGCUCUAUUGCUUGGAACAUGGGAUUCAGCCUGAUGGGCAGAUGCCCAGUGACAAGACCAUUGGUGGAGGGGACGACUCCUUCACCACCUUCUUCUGUGAAACUGGUGCUGGAAAACACGUACCCCGGGCAGUUUUUGUGGAUCUGGAGCCUACAGUCAUUGAUGAGAUCCGAAAUGGCCCAUACCGACAGCUCUUCCACCCAGAGCAGCUCAUCACUGGGAAAGAGGAUGCUGCCAACAACUAUGCCCGUGGUCACUAUACCAUUGGCAAGGAGAUCAUUGACCCAGUGCUGGAUCGGAUCCGCAAGCUGGUGAGAAUGUGUCUUGGGAGGGAGGGAACUUUUAAGACUGUGCUAAUGGUCAGGAGUAUUUUUUUUGAGAUCCUUUCAGGGGGUCGUCUCUAACUGUACAUGGUCUCGAGUGUGGUGCUGCUAUGGUAUCCUCAGUAUUUGCCCUGACUGCUGAUGUAUCUUACGCUUUAUGGAGCCAGGUGAUAGAGUCCCUCAGGCCUCUCCCCUACCUAAACUGUUCUUUCUCGCAGUCUGACCAGUGCACAGGACUUCAGGGCUUCCUGGUGUUCCACAGCUUUGGUGGGGGCACUGGCUCUGGCUUCACCUCACUCCUGAUGGAGCGGCUCUCUGUUGACUAUGGCAAGAAAUCCAAGCUGGAAU
RNAcentral lists this small RNA (793 nucleotides) under Pongo abelii (Sumatran orangutan). Its description in RNAcentral is "retained intron". Lineage: Eukaryota; Metazoa; Chordata; Mammalia; Primates; Hominidae. The record is from RNAcentral.